RNAcentral lists this ribosomal RNA (405 nucleotides) under uncultured bacterium. RNAcentral describes it as "bacterial SSU rRNA". It matches the Rfam family "Bacterial small subunit ribosomal RNA", at positions 355 to 794 of the family's 1533-position model. The record is from RNAcentral.
UGGGGAAUUUUGGACAAUGGGGGCGAACCCGAUCCAGCCAUGCCGCGUGCGGGAGAAGGCUCGGUUGUAACGCUUUGUCAGGACGGUACCUGAAGAAUAAGCACCGGCUAACUACGUGCCAGCAGCCGCGGUAAUACGUAGGGUGCAAGCGUUAAUCGGAAUUACUGGGCGUAAAGCGUGCGCAGGUGGUUGUGCAAGACAGAUGUGAAAUCCCCGGGCUUAACCUGGGAACUGCAUUUGUGACUGCACGGCUAGAGUACGGCAGAGGGGGAUGGAAUUCCGCGUGUAGCAGUGAAAUGCGUAGAUAUGCGGAGGAACACCGAUGGCGAAGGCAGUCCCCUGGGCCAGUACUGACGCUCAUGCACGAAAGCGUGGGGAGCAAACAGGAUUAGAUACCCUGGUAGU